ACACUUGGAAACAGGUGCUAAUACCGCAUAACAGUUUAUGCCGCAUGGCAUAAGAGUGAAAGGCGCUUUCGGGUGUCGCUGAUGGAUGGACCCGCGGUGCAUUAGCUAGUUGGUGAGGUAACGGCUCACCAAGGCCACGAUGCAUAGCCGACCUGAGAGGGUGAUCGGCCACACUGGGACUGAGACACGGCCCAGACUCCUACGGGAGGCAGCAGUAGGGAAUCUUCGGCAAUGGACGAAAGUCUGACCGAGCAACGCCGCGUGAGUGAAGAAGGUUUUCGGAUCGUAAAACUCUGUUGUUAGAGAAGAACAAGGACGUUAGUAACUGAACGUCCCCUGACGGUAUCUAACCAGAAAGCCACGGCUAACUACGUGCCAGCAGCCGCGGUAAUACGUAGGUGGCAAGCGUUGUCCGGAUUUAUUGGGCGUAAAGCGAGCGCAGGCGGUUUCUUAA
Molecule: ribosomal RNA, 454 nt
Filed under: Enterococcus sp. IFAF-2
Lineage: Bacteria; Bacillati; Bacillota; Bacilli; Lactobacillales; Enterococcaceae
Description: bacterial SSU rRNA
Rfam family: Bacterial small subunit ribosomal RNA
Source: RNAcentral